CUUAAUUCCCAUCCUCUGUUUCUCUACAUGUAAGAAGUGAAACAGAAGUCCUGGAAGUAUAUGGCUAGUGACCUUGCCAGUUAGAGUCUUCUCCACCCUUGCUUGGAAAGGAUUCAAUAAAAUCAAAAGGUGCUAGAGCUGGUCAGAUUGAUCUAGCAGAAAGAUGGCUGCCAUUGGCUAUUUUAGUUUUCUUUCCAUGGCAAGACUGUCAUGGUGCCUGGAUAUUUCAGGAACUGCAGUAUAAAAAUUGACUGUGGAGGAAAGAACCUAACAGACCAGUAACAAUGGAAGAAAUUGAGAAAGUUAUCAAAAAGCUACCAUCCCCCAAAACACCAGGCCCAGAUGGUGUUACAGGUGAAGUCCUUUAACUUGAAGGAAAAGGUAAUUUUGAUAAGGUUUAAAUUUUACACCCGCCUUGGGAAGGAAAAGUGACAGAUUGUUUUUACAGAGCUAAUGGAACAUGGACGCCUGAACUUGGUAUGAGAUAGUAAUAAAAUUAAAAAUUUGGUAUGUUCUAGUGAUGUG
RNAcentral lists this long non-coding RNA (525 nucleotides) under Neogale vison (American mink). RNAcentral describes it as "Neovison vison (American mink) lncRNA (ENSNVIG00000015796.1)". The record is from RNAcentral. Lineage: Eukaryota; Metazoa; Chordata; Mammalia; Carnivora; Mustelidae.